AUUGUGAGAAUUUGUAUGGAGUUGGAACGUUUGCCUACGUUUGCCGCUAGGGGCGCUGUUCCAACUCCAUACAAAUUUGAGUUA
Molecule: microRNA precursor, 84 nt
Filed under: Bombyx mori (domestic silkworm)
Lineage: Eukaryota; Metazoa; Arthropoda; Insecta; Lepidoptera; Bombycidae
Description: mir-2807 microRNA precursor family
Rfam family: mir-2807 microRNA precursor family
Source: Rfam by way of RNAcentral